Molecule: ribosomal RNA, 397 nt
Filed under: uncultured bacterium
Lineage: Bacteria
Description: partial 16S ribosomal RNA
Rfam family: Bacterial small subunit ribosomal RNA
Source: RNAcentral
AUACGUAGGGGGCGAGCGUUGUCCGGAAUGAUUGGGCGUAAAGGGCGCGUAGGCGGUUCGGUAAGUCUGGAGUGAAAGUCCUGUUUUUAAGAUGGGAAUUGCUUUGGAUACUGUCGGGCUUGAGUGCAGGAGAGGUAAGUGGAAUUCCCAGUGUAGCGGUGAAAUGCGUAGAGAUUGGGAGGAACACCAGUGGCGAAGGCGACUUACUGGACUGUAACUGACGCUGAGGCGCGAAAGUGUGGGGAGCAAACAGGAUUAGAUACCCUGGUAGUCCACACUGUAAACGAUGAAUGCUAGGUGUAGGGGGUAUCGACCCCUUCUGUGCCGCAGUCAACACAAUAAGCAUUCCGCCUGGGGAGUACGGCCGCAAGGUUGAAACUCAAAUGAAUUGACGGGG